RNAcentral lists this unclassified non-coding RNA (275 nucleotides) under Hevea brasiliensis (rubber tree). The record is from RNAcentral. Lineage: Eukaryota; Viridiplantae; Streptophyta; Magnoliopsida; Malpighiales; Euphorbiaceae.
AGAUCAUACAUAUUAAAGUAAUAUAGACAAAAAGAAUAGGACAGCAAAGAAUCCAUAUUUGGUCAAACAAGAAGCAUAAGCCAUCUUAAAUAACAAAAGGCAUUUGAAUAAGAAAAGGACUCCGUGAACAGACUGCAAGGUUGGUAUCACAUUAAUUGUAACGACCCAAAUCAGAUGACUGUUACCAGCGCUAGAGAACAGGCAGGCAAGAAGCACCAGCACCUAUAGCAAGCUUGAAUAUGCUUUCUUAAACCUUCAUAGGGCCCAUUCAAGUU